RNAcentral lists this transfer RNA (74 nucleotides) under Mycobacterium phage ScoobyDoobyDoo. Its description in RNAcentral is "tRNA-Phe". It matches the Rfam family "tRNA". From Rfam's summary of the family: Transfer RNA (tRNA) molecules are approximately 80 nucleotides in length. Their secondary structure includes four short double-helical elements and three loops (D, anti-codon, and T loops). Further hydrogen bonds mediate the characteristic L-shaped molecular structure. tRNAs have two regions of fundamental functional importance: the anti-codon, which is responsible for specific mRNA codon recognition, and the 3' end, to which the tRNAs corresponding amino acid is attached (by aminoacyl-tRNA synthetases). tRNAs cope with the degeneracy of the genetic code in two manners: having more than one tRNA (with a specific anti-codon) for a particular amino acid; and 'wobble' base-pairing, i.e. permitting non-standard base-pairing at the 3rd anti-codon position. Lineage: Duplodnaviria; Heunggongvirae; Uroviricota; Caudoviricetes. The record is from RNAcentral.
GCCUCUGUAGCUCAUGUGGAUGAGCAGUCGGUUGAAGCCCGACGGGAGCUGGUUCGACUCCAGCCAGUGGCACC